CCGGUAUCUCAUCCGGCCCCGUCGCCCUACCCCUUCGCAUCCUGCGGACAGCCUGUCUAACCUCUUCUACCUUAAAACGUCUACAAUAGCUAAAAUCCCGACACUCCUCUGAGUGCUCCAGUUCCCCUAACACAAUAGCUCUAUCCCCUUCGUCAUUCAAGAGCCUAUGAAAGUACGACUGCCAUCUAUUCUUAAUGUGGCCGUCCUCCACCAACACUCUACCGUCCUCCCCCUUAAUGCACCUCACCUGAUCGAGGUCACGACCCUUCCUCUCCCUAGCCUUAGCGAGUCUAAACAACUUUUUCUCCCCUCCUUUCCCCUGUAUCCCUGCAUACAAGCUCUCAAAAGCGGCCGUCUUAGCUGUCGUGACUGCUGACUUACCC
RNAcentral lists this long non-coding RNA (383 nucleotides) under Capsicum annuum. Its description in RNAcentral is "long non-coding RNA (CANN_LNC014502)". The record is from RNAcentral. Lineage: Eukaryota; Viridiplantae; Streptophyta; Magnoliopsida; Solanales; Solanaceae.